This 406-nucleotide ribosomal RNA is filed under the name uncultured bacterium. RNAcentral's name for it is "partial 16S ribosomal RNA". It matches the Rfam family "Bacterial small subunit ribosomal RNA", at positions 28 to 526 of the family's 1533-position model. The record is from RNAcentral.
GAUGAACGCUGACAGAAUGCUUAACACAUCAGCAAUGGAUUGGUGGCGGACGGGGGAGUAACGCGUAAAGAACUUGCCGCACAGCUAGGGACAACAUUUGGAAACGAAUGCUAAUACAUAAUACUGUGAGAGAGCUUUGCGUCCCAUUAGCUAGUUGGAGAGGUAACGGCUCACCAAGGCGAUGAUGGGUAGCCGGCCUGAGAGGGUGAUCGGCCACACGCGGUCUGAGACCCGGCCCUUACUCCUACGUGAGGCAGCAGUGUGGACUAUUGGACAAUGGACCACAGUCUGCUCCAGCAAUUCUGUGUGCACGAUGAAGUUUUCGGACUGUAAAGUGCUUUCAGUUGGGAAGCGGUACCAACAGAAGAAGUGACGGCUAACUACGUGCCAGCCGCCGCGGUAAUAC